AAAAAAUACAAUCUUCCAAUCUUCCAGCUGAUUUUUAUAAAGAUGGCCACUACUUGGAAACUGGAUAUGUAGGGAAGAUAACCAUUCUCAAUGUUUCCAAGUCUAAUGAAGGACUGUACAAGUGCAUCUUUACUGAAUCUCAAGGGGAAUCACCAGAGAGCCGGAUGGUUGUGAGAGCACAUGUUGCUCCCACACCUCAGAAGACAAUACCUCAAGAUGAUGAAGAGACUGAACAGGAGAGCUCUCCAUCCAGGUCCACUGGACUCUCCAUCUUAUUGCCAGCUAUGUUGAUCAUUUUGGCUGUGGAUGUGAUAAUAGUGGCGGGACUACAUUACUGCCAGAAACACACAGCAAGCUCUUCUGCUGUCAUGUCAGUAACAGUGUAUAAAAAUGCUCAGGUAACUCAUCUACAAAUGGAUACUUACAACAAUGAGACAAAACAGAAAAAGAAAUGAGGUUAAGUACACUUUAGAGGUUACAAGGAAGGCCCAGCAGCAUCUCCACUUUCUACUCAGAAGCCUCAACUUGAAGCAGAAGCCCUUGACCGUCUUCUACCAGUACUUGACCUUUUUGCACCGAUAUAUUUCUCUUUUUAAUCUCUGAACGUAAUGCACAUUUCAUUACUGUAUAUUGUUGUAUAUUUUAUUCUGUACAUAUGUUAUUUAUUAGGACUACUGCUUGCCCCAUUUUGUGUAUGGUGACCCUGAAUGGCCAAAUGGACUGC
Molecule: long non-coding RNA, 724 nt
Organism: Oreochromis aureus
Lineage: Eukaryota; Metazoa; Chordata; Actinopteri; Cichliformes; Cichlidae
Source: Ensembl